RNAcentral lists this ribosomal RNA (1044 nucleotides) under uncultured bacterium. RNAcentral describes it as "bacterial SSU rRNA". It matches the Rfam family "Bacterial small subunit ribosomal RNA", at positions 14 to 1100 of the family's 1533-position model. The record is from RNAcentral.
UGAUCAUGGCUCAGAAUGAACGCUGGCGGCACGCUUAACACAUGCAAGUCGAACGAGAUCUUCGGAUCUAGUGGCAGACGGGUGAGUAACGCGUGGGAACCUGCCCUUUAGUAGAGAAUAACUCGGGGAAACUCGAGCUAAUACUUUAUACGCCCUUCGGGGGAAAGCUUUAUGCGCUAUUGGAUGGGCCCGCGUUAGAUUAGUUUGUUGGUGAGGUAACGGCUCAUCAAGGCGACGAUCUAUAGCUGGUCUGAGAGGAUGAUCAGCCACACUGGGACUGAGACACGGCCCAGACUCCUACGGGAGGCAGCAGUGGGGAAUAUUGGACAAUGGGGGAAACCCUGAUCCAGCGAUGCCGCGUGAGUGAUGAAGGCCCUAGGGUUGUAAAGCUCUUUUGUCAGGGAAGAUAAUGACGGUACCUGAAGAAUAAGAUCCGGCUAACUCCGUGCCAGCAGCCGCGGUAAUACGGAGGGAUCUAGCGUUAUUCGGAAUUACUGGGCGUAAAGCGAGCGUAGGCUGAUUUGUAAGUUGGAUGUGAAAUCCCAGAGCUUAACUCUGGAACUGCAUCCAAAACUAUUUUUCUUGAGUUUGGUAGAGGAGAGUGGAAUUCCUAGUGUAGAGGUGAAAUUCGUAGAUAUUAGGAGGAACACCAGUGGCGAAGGCGACUCUCUGGGCCAAUACUGACGCUGAGGUUCGAAAGCGUGGGUAGCGAACAGGAUUAGAUACCCUGGUAGUCCACGCAGUAAACGAUGAAUGCUAGAUGUUGGAAACAUUAGUUUUCAGUAUCGCAGCUAACGCAUUAAGCAUUCCGCCUGGGAAGUACGGCCGCAAGGCUAAAACUCAAAUGAAUUGACGGGGACCCGCACAAGCGGUGGAUCAUGUGGUUUAAUUCGAAGCAACGCGAAGAACCUUACCGGCCCUUGACAUACCAAUCGCGAACUUAAGAGAUUAAGUUUUUCACUUCGGGUGGAUUGGAUACAGGUGCUGCAUGGCUGUCGUCAGCUCGUGUCGUGAGAUGUUGGGUUAAGUCCCGCAACGAGCGCA